AUUGAACGCUGGCGGCAGGCUUAACACAUGCAAGUCGAGCGGAGCGAGGGUGCUUGCACCUUAGCUUAGCGGCGGACGGGUGAGUAAUGCUUAGGAAUCUGCCUAUUAGUGGGGGACAACAUCUCGAAAGGGAUGCUAAUACCGCAUACGUCCUACGGGAGAAAGCAGGGGAUCACUUGUGACCUUGCGCUAAUAGAUGAGCCUAAGUCGGAUUAGCUAGUUGGUGGGGUAAAGGCCUACCAAGGCGACGAUCUGUAGCGGGUCUGAGAGGAUGAUCCGCCACACUGGGACUGAGACACGGCCCAGACUCCUACGGGAGGCAGCAGUGGGGAAUAUUGGACAAUGGGGGAAACCCUGAUCCAGCCAUGCCGCGUGUGUGAAGAAGGCCUUAUGGUUGUAAAGCACUUUAAGCGAGGAGGAGGCUCUUUUGGUUAAUACCCAAGAUGAGUGGACGUUACUCGCAGAAUAAGCACCGGCUAACUCUGUGCCAGCCGCCGCCGUAA
Molecule: ribosomal RNA, 503 nt
Filed under: uncultured bacterium
Lineage: Bacteria
Description: partial 16S ribosomal RNA
Rfam family: Bacterial small subunit ribosomal RNA
Source: RNAcentral